RNAcentral lists this unclassified non-coding RNA (1021 nucleotides) under Daphnia pulex (common water flea). RNAcentral's name for it is "uncharacterized LOC124190823, transcript variant X1". Lineage: Eukaryota; Metazoa; Arthropoda; Branchiopoda; Diplostraca; Daphniidae. The record is from RNAcentral.
GAGAGAAUGUCGAGCGAUCAAACGGGUUUUUCAAAAAUGAUCGUCUCUUUUGCGAUCGUGACUCUGCUUAGCUUUUGCAGCCCGGCGUCCAGUUUCGCCUACCUUCCUCGCGUCUCCCGUACACAUGACGCCAUCAUCAUCGAUGUUGACGGUAGAUACUCUUAUCAAGAUAAGACGCUGUACGGCCAAAUUACCAAUCCAGGAUUUAUUCCGGUGCCAUCCUUCAAUCCCUACCCUGUAAAGGCAUCACCAGCAGGAGCAGUGUCAGUCCAGUGGGUGUGGUUCUAUUCAUACGAAUAUCCUAAUAUUCUGACUGUUGGAGAUCUCUUUGUCCGUCAAGCAAACAACAGCGCCUGUGUGUGGUGCUGGACCAGCCACCAUGACUGCUACACGGGCAUUGGCAAGCAAAAGGAUCAUUGGCGGAACCUCAGCCAAAAAGAAUGCUUGGCCUUUUAUGGUAGCCUUGAAGAAAAGUGAUGGUUCAUUAUUUUGCAGCGGAACUUUGAUUUGUGACACCAGAGUUACUAUUGGCGGCUCAGUGUGUGGAGAAAUUGUAUUUGUAUGAGUUUUCUGGUGUGACCGUAUUGGUUGGGAUGUUUUUGACGGACAAAACCGACGUCCAAAUGACGACGAGGAGGAUCAGCAUCAUGUUUCAAAUUCAACUCUGCCUCCUAUCAGUUGCUACAACAGGACGGAAAUUUUUGAAAUUCACCUCCAUUCAUUGAUGUCGACUAGGCCAAUGAUAUCGCCAUCAUUUUGUAAUGGACGCGCCCGUGGUUCUUUUCAGGAUUGUUGCACCUGCUUGUUUGCCGCCGGCCAGUACAGACCCCGACCAGUACGUCGUAACGUCGACCAAGAUGCCAUUCUUUUGGGAUGGGGAGAGCCGGAGAGCCUAGCAAAAAUAGCAUCCCCUUAACCUGGAACAAGCCAAGUUUUCGAUUUCGUCCAACAUUGAAUUAAAAGGGAAUCCACUUUUUUGGUAAAUGUUUUACGGACACAAAUAUCUGUAUUACGAGUGGUG